Molecule: ribosomal RNA, 500 nt
Filed under: uncultured bacterium
Lineage: Bacteria
Description: partial 16S ribosomal RNA
Rfam family: Bacterial small subunit ribosomal RNA
Source: RNAcentral
AUUGAACGCUGGCGGCAUGCCUUACACAUGCAAGUCGAACGGCAGCACGGGAGCAAUCCUGGUGGCGAGUGGCGAACGGGUGAGUAAUAUAUCGGAACGUGCCCAGUCGUGGGGGAUAACGUAGCGAAAGCUACGCUAAUACCGCAUACGAUCUAUGGAUGAAAGCGGGGGAUCGCAAGACCUCGCGCGAUUGGAGCGGCCGAUAUCAGAGUAGGUAGUUGGUGAGGUAAAGUCUCACGAAGCCGACGAUCUGUAGCUGGUCUGAGAGGACGACCAGCCACACUGGGACUGAGACACGGCCCAGACUCCUACGGGAGGCAGCAGUGGGGAAUUUUGGACAAUGGGCGCAAGCCUGAUCCAGCAAUGCCGCGUGCAGGAUGAAGGCCUUCGGGUUGUAAACUGCUUUUGUACGGAACGAAACGGCGAGCUCUAAUACAGUUUGCUAAUGACGGUACCGUAAGAAUAAGCACCGGCUAACUACGUGCCAGCAGCCGCCGUAA